UGGUGGAGUGAUUUGUCUGGUUUAUUCCGUUAACGAACGAGACCCCAACCUGCUUAAUAGGGUAGACAAGGCUUUUCUUGGACUACACUUCUUAGAGGGACUAUCGGUGUUUAGCCGAUGGAAGUUUGAGGCAAUAACA
Molecule: ribosomal RNA, 139 nt
Filed under: uncultured eukaryote
Lineage: Eukaryota
Description: partial 18S ribosomal RNA
Rfam family: Eukaryotic small subunit ribosomal RNA
Source: RNAcentral